CCUACGGGAGGCAGCAGUGAGGAAUAUUGGUCAAUGGGCGGGAGCCUGAACCAGCCAAGCCGCGUGAGGGAAGAAGGUACAGCGUAUCGUAAACCUCUUUUGUCAGGGAACAAAGGCGGGGACUAGUCCCCGGAUGAGGGUACCUGAAGAAAAAGCAUCGGCUAACUCCGUGCCAGCAGCCGCGGUAAUACGGAGGAUGCGAGCGUUAGCCGGAUUUAUUGGGGUUAAAGGGUGCGCAGGCGGCCUGUUAAGUCAGCGGUAAAAGCCCGGGGCUCAACCCCGGCGAGCCGUUGAAACUGGCGGGCUGGAGUUGGAGAGAAGUACGCGGAAUGCGCGGUGUAGCGGUGAAAUGCUUAGAUAUCGCGCAGAACCCCGAUUGCGAAGGCAGCAUACCGGCUCCACACUGACGCUGAGGCACGAAAGCGUGGGUAUCGAACAGGAUUAGAUACCCGGGUAGUC
RNAcentral lists this ribosomal RNA (459 nucleotides) under uncultured bacterium. RNAcentral describes it as "partial 16S ribosomal RNA". It matches the Rfam family "Bacterial small subunit ribosomal RNA", at positions 338 to 795 of the family's 1533-position model. The record is from RNAcentral.